This is a non-coding RNA of Octodon degus (degu), 458 nucleotides long. Lineage: Eukaryota; Metazoa; Chordata; Mammalia; Rodentia; Octodontidae. The record is from the annotation of a RefSeq genome assembly.
CAGGCCUGAGACUGUGAGACCCUACCAUGAAUGCUGUCCUCCCCUGCUGUGUAAUCUUUGGUCUCCUGGGGGCAGGACACAUGGAACCUGGGGUCAGGCAAUCUCCCAGCCACAAGGUGACAGAGAUGGGACAGAAUGUGACUUUCAGGUGUGACCCCAUUUCUGGUCAACAGUACAUCUACUGGUAUCGGCAGACUGCAGAGAAUGGGAUAGAGUUUAUGGUUUAUCUUUAUGACAAAGACCCUAUGGAAAAGGCAGACUUCUUCAAGGACAGAUUCUCAGCAGAGGUGCCCAAAGGAUCAUACUCCAUUCUAAAGAUCUGGCCCGUGCAGCUGGGAGACUCAGCCGUGUACCUCUGUGCCAGCAGUCAGGCACAGCCUCACACAGACAUUUCCUGUUCCUACAUAAACUCAGCAUGUUCCCCUCUUCCCAGGCUUGAAGAAGCUCUUCCUUCCUAG